RNAcentral lists this ribosomal RNA (253 nucleotides) under uncultured bacterium. Its description in RNAcentral is "partial 16S ribosomal RNA". It matches the Rfam family "Bacterial small subunit ribosomal RNA", at positions 524 to 776 of the family's 1533-position model. The record is from RNAcentral.
UACGGAGGGUGCGAGCGUUGUCCGGAAUCACUGGGCGUAAAGGGCGCGUAGGCGGCGCGGAAAGUCGUCGGUGAAAGCUCGGGGCUCAACCCUGAGUCUGCCGGUGAUACUCCCGCGCUCGAGCUCACUAGAGGCAGAUGGAAUUCCGGGUGUAGCGGUGGAAUGCGUAGAGAUCCGGAAGAACACCGGUGGCGAAGGCGGUCUGCUGGGGUGAGGCUGACGCUGAUGCGCGACGAGCGUGGGAGCAAACAGG